CGUAGGUGGAAGAUUAAGUCAGCCUGUGAAAGUUUACGGCUGAACCGUAUACUUGCAGUUGAUACUGGUUGUCUUGAGUGCAGUAGAGGUGGGCUGAAUUCGUGGUGUAGCGGUGAAAUGCUUAGAUAUCACGAAGAACUCCGAUUGCGAAGGCAGCUCACUGGACUGUAACUGACACUGAUGCGCGAAAGUGUGGGUAUCAA
Molecule: ribosomal RNA, 203 nt
Filed under: uncultured bacterium
Lineage: Bacteria
Description: partial 16S ribosomal RNA
Rfam family: Bacterial small subunit ribosomal RNA
Source: RNAcentral